Molecule: unclassified non-coding RNA, 57 nt
Filed under: Thermococcus thioreducens
Lineage: Archaea; Methanobacteriati; Methanobacteriota; Thermococci; Thermococcales; Thermococcaceae
Description: Pyrococcus C/D box small nucleolar RNA
Source: RNAcentral
GCCGAUGACGAGGGAUCAACCGGCUGAAGGGUGAUGACCAGUCCAGGAGGCCGAGGC